GCGUCGUUGGUUCAGUGGUAGAAUUCUUGCCUUCCAUAUGGGAGACCCAGGUUCCAUUCCUGGCCAGUGUA
RNAcentral lists this transfer RNA (71 nucleotides) under Loxodonta africana (African savanna elephant). It matches the Rfam family "tRNA". From Rfam's summary of the family: Transfer RNA (tRNA) molecules are approximately 80 nucleotides in length. Their secondary structure includes four short double-helical elements and three loops (D, anti-codon, and T loops). Further hydrogen bonds mediate the characteristic L-shaped molecular structure. tRNAs have two regions of fundamental functional importance: the anti-codon, which is responsible for specific mRNA codon recognition, and the 3' end, to which the tRNAs corresponding amino acid is attached (by aminoacyl-tRNA synthetases). tRNAs cope with the degeneracy of the genetic code in two manners: having more than one tRNA (with a specific anti-codon) for a particular amino acid; and 'wobble' base-pairing, i.e. permitting non-standard base-pairing at the 3rd anti-codon position. The record is from Rfam by way of RNAcentral. Lineage: Eukaryota; Metazoa; Chordata; Mammalia; Proboscidea; Elephantidae.